UACGUAGGGUGCGAGCGUUGUCCGGAAUUAUUGGGCGUAAAGAGCUCGUAGGCGGUUUGUCGCGUCGACUGUGAAAACCCGAGGCUUAACCUCGGGCCUGCAGUCGAUACGGGCAGACUAGAGUUCGGUAGGGGAGACUGGAAUUCCUGGUGUAGCGGUGAAAUGCGCAGAUAUCAGGAGGAACACCGAUGGCGAAGGCAGGUCUCUGGGCAUUAACUGACGCUGAGGAGCGAAAGCAUGGGGAGCGAACAGG
RNAcentral lists this ribosomal RNA (253 nucleotides) under uncultured bacterium. Its description in RNAcentral is "partial 16S ribosomal RNA". It matches the Rfam family "Bacterial small subunit ribosomal RNA", at positions 524 to 776 of the family's 1533-position model. The record is from RNAcentral.